AGAAUCAACGCUGGCGGCGUGCCUAACACAUGCAAGUCGAACGAGAAAGUGGAGCAAUCCACAAGUAAAGUGGCGCACGGGUGAGUAACACGUGACUAACCUACCCUUGAGUGGGGGAUAACCUAGAGAAAUCUGGGCUAAUACCGCAUAAUACCUUCGGGUCAAAGGAGCAAUUCGCUUAAGGAGGGGGUCGCGGCCGAUUAGUUAGUUGGCGGGGUAAUGGCCCACCAAGACUAUGAUCGGUAUCCGGCCUGAGAGGGCGCACGGACACACUGGAACUGAAACACGGUCCAGACUCCUACGGGAGGCAGCAGUGGGAAUUUGCGCAAUGGGGGAAACCCUGACGCAGCAACGCCGCGUGGAGGAUGAAGUCCCUUGGGACGUAAACUCCUUUCGAUCGGACGAUAAUGACGGUACCGAGAGAAGAAGCCCCGGCUAACUUCGUGCCAGCAGCCGC
RNAcentral lists this ribosomal RNA (457 nucleotides) under uncultured bacterium. RNAcentral describes it as "SSU rRNA". It matches the Rfam family "Bacterial small subunit ribosomal RNA", at positions 26 to 518 of the family's 1533-position model. The record is from RNAcentral.